RNAcentral lists this unclassified non-coding RNA (377 nucleotides) under uncultured Chlamydiales bacterium. RNAcentral's name for it is "contains 16S-23S intergenic spacer region". Lineage: Bacteria; Pseudomonadati; Chlamydiota; Chlamydiia; Chlamydiales. The record is from RNAcentral.
UCCUAGUUAACCUAGGCAGUCUCGUUAUAGUUCCCACCUUAAAUGCUGGCAAAUAACGAUAAGGGUUGCGCUCGUUGCGGGACUUAACCCAACACCUCACGGCACGAGCUGACGACAGCCAUGCAGCACCUAUAUAGCAGUCCUUGCGGAAAAUACCAUUUCUGGUAUCGUCUCCUACAUUUCUAACCUGGGUAAGGUUCUUCGCGUUGCAUCGAAUUAAACCACAUGCUCCACUGCUUGUGCGGGCCCCCGUCAAUUCUUUUGAGUUUCAGCCUUGCGACUGUACUCCUCAGGCGGUAUACUUAUCGCGUUAGCUUCGACACAAUCAGGGUUGAGCCUAAUUACAUCAAGUAUACAUCGUUUAGGGCAAGGACUAC